UAGAUGGAUCCAAAGUAUCUUCUGCCCACUGAUUAAAUUUGAAUGGCCGCAGUACUCUGACUGUGCUAAGGUAGCGUGAUUCUUGUUUUCUUAAUUAGAAAUCUGUUCAAAGAAUGAUAUGGAGAGAAUCUAUUGUUUUCAUAUUGAGUGAAUUUAAAAUGUUAGUGAAAAUUCUGACGUGUCCUUAAAAGACGAGAAGACCCCAUAAAACUUAAUUUGAUCUAAUAAUCCUUUGGUUUAAAAUUUAAAUGGGGACUUUAGAGUAUACUAAUAACUUAAAGACCUAUAUUUUUAUUCUUUGAGAAGCUACUUUGGGGAUAACAGGGUAAAAUAUUUGGAGAGU
RNAcentral lists this ribosomal RNA (343 nucleotides) under Brachionus sp. Cayman. RNAcentral describes it as "partial 16S ribosomal RNA". The record is from RNAcentral. Lineage: Eukaryota; Metazoa; Rotifera; Eurotatoria; Ploima; Brachionidae.